Orcinus orca (killer whale) is the source of this 224-nucleotide long non-coding RNA. RefSeq lists it as uncharacterized. The transcript has 2 exons. NCBI's taxonomy places the organism in Eukaryota, Metazoa, Chordata, Mammalia, Artiodactyla, Delphinidae. The record is from RefSeq and is a predicted model, not a curated record.
AAGAGCUCUGCUUAAAGGAGCUCCAGAGACGGGCGCGAGCCGCGGCUAAAAGUGCGGACCCUAGAGACGGGCAUGAGACGCUAAGGCUGCUGCUGCCGCCACCAAAAACCUGUGUGCGAGCACAGCCUCAGAAGCAGCGGAUUAAAGCUCCACAAUCAACUUGAUGUACCCUGCAUCUGUGGAAUACAUGAAUAGACAACGAAUCAUCCCAAAUUGAGGAGGUG